GGGGAUGUAGCUCAGUGGUAGAGUGCAUGCUAAGCCCUGGGUUCAAUCCCCAGUAUCAGCA
RNAcentral lists this transfer RNA (61 nucleotides) under Fukomys damarensis (Damara mole-rat). It matches the Rfam family "tRNA". From Rfam's summary of the family: Transfer RNA (tRNA) molecules are approximately 80 nucleotides in length. Their secondary structure includes four short double-helical elements and three loops (D, anti-codon, and T loops). Further hydrogen bonds mediate the characteristic L-shaped molecular structure. tRNAs have two regions of fundamental functional importance: the anti-codon, which is responsible for specific mRNA codon recognition, and the 3' end, to which the tRNAs corresponding amino acid is attached (by aminoacyl-tRNA synthetases). tRNAs cope with the degeneracy of the genetic code in two manners: having more than one tRNA (with a specific anti-codon) for a particular amino acid; and 'wobble' base-pairing, i.e. permitting non-standard base-pairing at the 3rd anti-codon position. Lineage: Eukaryota; Metazoa; Chordata; Mammalia; Rodentia; Bathyergidae. The record is from Rfam by way of RNAcentral.